ACAGAUCUGUUUUUUAAGUUGUUAGAGUUGUUCCUAAAAGCACUGAAGGAGGGUUUCUUGUGAUUGUAUAUGUGGAAAAGCAAAUAAUUUCUGGGAAAAUUAACUCUGGAAGGCAAAAAAUAUUCAUCAAACAAGCAAGAUGCGAAGGACCAGUUUGCAUCGGUCGGCUUGAGCUUCCGUUGCCGAGGUCUCUGGAGCGAGUGUUUGUUUGAUAACAUGGCAAACAUCUGGACCUGUGACAUCCCUCCCUCAUACCUGGGGGAGCUCCCUGGUAUUUCUGGUGCAGUCGGGGUGCUGUGGUAUGCAAUCGGCACCUUCAUCAAAUACAGGCAGGAGGUCACAUAUGCAAUCCCCGGGGUCACGUAUGAGCUGGGCUGCUCUUACUGGUUUGCCGUAGCAGGUGUGGUCUGUGUUUGUGCAGUGGGGAUAAUGCUUCUGUCAGUAACCUGUUCGACACGCAAGAGGGUGAACAAGAGGAAGAGUCACAGAGCCACACUGCUCCUGACAGGACACAAUAACCACAUGCCAACAUCUCCACUCCCUGGACACAGCAAGACGUAUCUGUGACUUGAUUUAGCACGACAUUGCCACACGCUGGACAGAGCCAGACUUAUCUGUGACUUCAUUUAUAAUGAUUGUCUUUACUUUAACUGUGCCCUGAUGCUUUGUCUGAUGUAACAGAGGUUUUCUGUAAACCUGAUGCUCAGUUAUUCUGAUUCACUGUUUAAUAUUGCAAUCUCAAUCUAUAUUCACAAAGCACUGACCAUCAGCAUUGUCUGUGAUUAUAGUAUUGAUCUAGCAUGAAACAGCUGCAGCUCCUAAUUUCAUUUACUGGCUUAUUUAUUAUCAAGCUUUGUAACAUUAACAUGUUGUUUUAGAUUUAUUUUUAAUGAAAACAUUUAGCCCAAUAUGAAGAGAUUAAAAAUAGAAGAAUGAGUCCCAGCCUAUUUUUUCACUGACAUACUAGUUGUUUUUAUUAAUAAUCUAUCCCAUUUUAGCUUUAACACAGUUGGUUAUUAAAUAUGAACUUGUGUUUACACAAUGACAAAGGGUUAUGGUUCAAUGUCAUUAUUUGUUAAAUGUGCAUUAUUUGCCCAUGUGCUGUACUAAGGCUGUGUCAAUACCACUAACUCCACUGAAGUUUAUUUUUUAAGUAGCGGUAGGUGCUACUGUAUUUAUAUGUGUUUUGUUUUAUGGCUGCCCUCCUCACUCAGCCAUUCUCAACUGUAUGAAAGCAAUGUUGUAAACGCAUGCAUGCACAAUUGUCUUUUCUGUUGAGGUGGUUAUUUCACGCCUGUAGCCAUGGUGCCGCAAGGAACACUUCAUAUUCCUGCCACCAGGUGGCAAAAGAAACACGGAAAAAAAUCUGUUAAAAUAACACCAAGGUCCUUAAUACUUUUAGGACAAAAAAACCCUAAACAAGGGGGCAGCUACAAAAUGCAUACAGGAAGUCUGGAUGUUUAC
Polyodon spathula (Mississippi paddlefish) is the source of this 1464-nucleotide long non-coding RNA. RefSeq lists it as uncharacterized. NCBI's taxonomy places the organism in Eukaryota, Metazoa, Chordata, Actinopteri, Acipenseriformes, Polyodontidae. The transcript is spliced from 4 exons. The record is from RefSeq and is a predicted model, not a curated record.